RNAcentral lists this ribosomal RNA (593 nucleotides) under Desmoscolecidae sp. 718_8-1500_Q. Its description in RNAcentral is "eukaryotic LSU rRNA". It matches the Rfam family "Eukaryotic large subunit ribosomal RNA", at positions 392 to 901 of the family's 3401-position model. The record is from RNAcentral. Lineage: Eukaryota; Metazoa; Nematoda; Chromadorea; Desmoscolecida; Desmoscolecidae.
AGAGGGCGUGAAACUGCAUAGAAGGAAACGUGAGGUGUUGUCUGUGCUGUCAGUGUACAACUGCAGGGUUUUUCUCGGCAGUGCAUUCACUGGCAGCGGCGCUGGAACUGAUGAGAUUUGUUGUCUGAUUUCACUUUUGGUCGCUAUUUCGUGUAGUGGUCGGAGUGUUUUUGGGGUUCAGAUCUUAUCAGUGUUGUCAGCCUCUGGUUCUUUUUUAUAUUGAAAUACUUUGUGUAAUUUGGGGCUAGCAAAGCCCUUUGUUGCUCAUUGGAUUUUUGUGUAUUAAGACAACGUAAUCCAGCGAAAAGACAACUUACCUCACGACCCGUCUUGAAACACGGACCAAGGAGUCUAACAUGUGCGCGAGUCACUGGGUUUCAAACCCAAUGGCGGAAUGAAAGUAAAUGUCGGCUCUGUUGACUGAUACACGAACCGAAGUAAUUCGGUGCAGUGUAGUCCCAUCCUGAUUGUUCUCAAUGGGGUGGAGAAAGAGCGUAUUUGUUGGGACCCGAAAGAUGGUGAACUAUGCCUGAACAGGAUGAGGCCAGAGGAAACUCUGGUGGAAGUCCGAAGGGUUCUGACGUGCAAAUCGA